CUAACACUGCAAGUGAUAUAAGAGUGCUUUGAAUGUAUGACACAGAUGUGACCUGUGUCUUAACCAGAAGAAACAAAAGUUGUGCCGGUGUUUGUGUUGUAGCUAAUGUGCACUGUAUCUGCCUGUGAAUAAGGGCUGGUUUACACAAACAUUAGUUGGACACACACACACACACACACACACACUUGCAAUUGAAAUUAUUCAACCCCCAUUGCAGAUGUAAGACUGGAGAAGCCAGUAUAAAUUGUAUUUUCAACUGAAUUUGGGGGAACCACUAGAAGCAUCCGUUGCGUUGAGCUAUUUCCGCUUUCGUUGGACUUGCUUAUUGCAAACGGCGGAACGUCUGUAAACCUUGAUAAUAAGCCCAAUUUGCAACGGGGGUUGGAUAAUUUCAGUUGCACCCACACGCACCCCUACAUGGAGGGACAUUGGAAUAACCACAAUUUCUACGACGUUUUCAUUAGUAUUUUGUUUUGAGAUUUGGGCCUGCCAUGUUCUUCACAUGCUGGGAGGUAAAUGCAUGCAUUCAUUUUA
Molecule: long non-coding RNA, 534 nt
Organism: Lacerta agilis (Sand lizard)
Lineage: Eukaryota; Metazoa; Chordata; Lepidosauria; Squamata; Lacertidae
Exons: 3
Source: RefSeq, a predicted model, not a curated record